ACGGGUGAGGAAUACAUCGGAAUCUACCUUUUCGUGGGGGAUAACGUAGGGAAACUUACGCUAAUACCGCAUACGACCUUCGGGUGAAAGCAGGGGACCUUCGGGCCUUGCGCGGAUAGAUGAGCCGAUGUCGGAUUAGCUAGUUGGCGGGGUAAAGGCCCACCAAGGCGACGAUCCGUAGCUGGUCUGAGAGGAUGAUCAGCCACACUGGAACUGAGACACGGUCCAGACUCCUACGGGAGGCAGCAGUGGGGAAUAUUGGACAAUGGGCGCAAGCCUGAUCCAGCCAUACCGCGUGGGUGAAGAAGGCCUUCGGGUUGUAAAGCCCUUUUGUUGGGAAAGAAAAGCAAUCGAUUAAUACUCGGUUGUUCUGACGGUACCCAAAGAAUAAGCACCGGCUAACUUCGUGCCAGCAGCCGCGGUAAUACGAAGGGUGCAAGCGUUACUCGGAAUUACUGGGCGUAAAGCGUGCGUAGGUGGUUGUUUAAGUCUGUUGUGAAAGCCCUGGGCUCAACCUGGGAAUUGCAGUGGAUACUGGGCGACUAGAGUGUGGUAGAGGGUAGUGGAAUUCCCGGUGUA
Molecule: ribosomal RNA, 579 nt
Filed under: Lysobacteraceae bacterium StRD474
Lineage: Bacteria; Pseudomonadati; Pseudomonadota; Gammaproteobacteria; Lysobacterales; Lysobacteraceae
Description: bacterial SSU rRNA
Rfam family: Bacterial small subunit ribosomal RNA
Source: RNAcentral